Oncorhynchus mykiss (rainbow trout) is the source of this 243-nucleotide long non-coding RNA. RefSeq lists it as uncharacterized. Lineage: Eukaryota; Metazoa; Chordata; Actinopteri; Salmoniformes; Salmonidae. The record is from RefSeq and is a predicted model, not a curated record.
CAGUUUCGACUGUUACUUCUACUUUGACCCCUGACAUCACAGUGAGACCAACUAGUUUGACCUCUCCUUUGGCCCCCAGCACAGCAGUGAAUCCUACAUCAGAUUUGACUGUUAGUCCUACUUUGACAACUGACACACCAAAGAGUCCAACUGAAAAGGUGCAAUUAUGGCAGACAGCAGUGUGUAUGGCUUCUGGAGUGGGCGUGUUCUUGAUGGGAUUGACAGCUGUCUAUCUCUGCAGGA